CAAGUCGAACGCGAAAGUGGAGCAAUCCAUGAGUAGAGUGGCAAACGGGUGAGUAACGCGUGGGCGACCUACCUCAGAGUGGGGGAUAACCUUCCGAAAGGAGGGCUAAUACCGCAUGACAUACCGUGUUUGGAUACACGGAUAUCAAAGCCGGGGAUCGCAAGACCUGGCGCUUGGAGAGGGGCCCGCGUCCGAUUAGCUAGUUGGUGAGGUAACGGCUCACCAAGGCUCCGAUCGGUAUCCGGCCUGAGAGGGCGGACGGACACACUGGAACUGAGACACGGUCCAGACUCCUACGGGAGGCAGCAGUGGGGAAUUGUUCACAAUGGGCGCAAGCCUGAUGACGCAACGCCGCGUGGAGGAUGAAGACUUUCGGGUCGUAAACUCCUUUCGACCGAGAUGAAUUCCCCUCGACCUAACACGUCGAGGGGGUGACAGUAUCGAGGGAAGAAGCCCCGGCUAACUCCGUGCCAGCAGCCGCGGUAAUACGGGGGGGGCAAGCGUUGUUCGGAAUUACUGGGCGUAAAGGGUUCGUAGGUGGCUUGCUAAGUCAGACGUGAAAUCCCUCAGCUUAACUGGGGAACUGCGUCUGAUACUGGCGAGCUUGAGUGCAGGAGAGGAACGCAGAAUUCCAGGUGUAGCGGUGAAAUGCGUAGAUAUCUGGAGGAAUACCGGUGGCGAAGGCGGCGUUCUGGACUGCAACUGACACUGAUGAACGAAAGCCAGGGGAGCAAACGGGAUUAGAUACCCCGGUAGUCCUGGCCCUAAACGAUGAAUGCUUGGUGUGGCGGGUAUCGAUCCCUGCCGUGCCGAAGUUAACGCGUUAAGCAUU
RNAcentral lists this ribosomal RNA (832 nucleotides) under uncultured Bacillota bacterium. RNAcentral describes it as "bacterial SSU rRNA". It matches the Rfam family "Bacterial small subunit ribosomal RNA", at positions 58 to 868 of the family's 1533-position model. The record is from RNAcentral. Lineage: Bacteria; Bacillati; Bacillota.